UACAGAGGUCUCAAGCGUUGUUCGGAUUCAUUGGGCGUAAAGGGUGCGUAGGCGGCGCGGUAAGUCGGGUGUGAAAUCUCGGAGCUUAACUCCGAAACUGCAUUCGAAACUGCCGUGCUUGAGGACUGGAGAGGAGACUGGAAUUUACGGUGUAGCGGUGAAAUGCGUAGAUAUCGUAAGGAAGACCAGUGGCGAAGGCGGGUCUCUGGACAGUUCCUGACGCUGAGGCACGAAGGUCAGGGGAGCAAACGGG
RNAcentral lists this ribosomal RNA (253 nucleotides) under uncultured bacterium. RNAcentral describes it as "partial 16S ribosomal RNA". It matches the Rfam family "Bacterial small subunit ribosomal RNA", at positions 524 to 776 of the family's 1533-position model. The record is from RNAcentral.